This is a long non-coding RNA of Hibiscus syriacus, 524 nucleotides long. RefSeq lists it as uncharacterized. The record is from RefSeq and is a predicted model, not a curated record. NCBI's taxonomy places the organism in Eukaryota, Viridiplantae, Streptophyta, Magnoliopsida, Malvales, Malvaceae. The transcript has 3 exons.
UUUUCUUGUCUCGUAUUGGAAAAGAUGGCCGAUACUGAGGAUAUUCAACCCCUCGUCUGGGACAAUGGAACCGGAAUGGUGAAAGCUGGUUUUGCUGGUGAUGAUGCUCCCAGGGCAGUUUUUCCCAGUAUUGUCGGUCCACCCCGACACACUGGGGCCAUGGUUGGGAUGGGUCAGAUGCCUGUGUAGGAGAUGAAGCACAAUCUAAAAGAGGUAUUAUUACUUUGAAAUAUCCCAUUGAGCAUGUAUUGUCAGCAACUGGGAUGAUAUGGAAAAGAUCUGGCAUCAUACAUUCUACAAUGAGCUUCGUGUUGCUCCUGAGGAGCAUCCUAUGCUUCUCACGGAGGCACCUCUCAAUCCCAAAACCAAUAGAGAAAAGAUGACUCAGAUCAUGUUUGAGACCUUCAAUGUACCUGCCAUGUAUGUUGCUAUCCAGGCUGUUCUCUCAUUGUAUGCCAGUGGUCGUACAACAGGUUUGUUCAAAUAAAGACCUUACUAAUUUUCACACUUUUUUUUACUGAUUA